GUGCAGCAGUCGCGAAACCUCCGCAAUGCACGCAAGUGCGACGGGGGAACCCCAAGUGCCACUCUUAACGGGGUGGCUUUUCAGAAGUGUAAAAAGCUUCUGGAAUAAGGGCUGGGCAAGACCGGUGCCAGCCGCCGCGGUAACACCGGCAGCUCAAGUGGUAGCCGCUUUUAUUGGGCCUAAAGCGUCCGUAGCCGGUCUGAUAAGUCUCUGGUGAAAUCCCACAGCUUAACUGAGGGAAUUGCUGGAGAUACUAUCAUGACUCGAGGUCGGGAGAGGCUGGAGGUACUCCCAGGGUAGGGGUGAAAUCCUGUAAUCCUGGGAGGACCACCUGUGGCGAAGGCGUCCAACUGGAACGAACCUGACGGUGAGGGACGAAAGCCAGGGGCGCGAACCGGAUUAGAUACCCGAGUAGUCC
Molecule: ribosomal RNA, 418 nt
Filed under: uncultured Methanothermobacter sp.
Lineage: Archaea; Methanobacteriati; Methanobacteriota; Methanobacteria; Methanobacteriales; Methanobacteriaceae
Description: bacterial SSU rRNA
Rfam family: Archaeal small subunit ribosomal RNA
Source: RNAcentral